UCGGGAAUUUUGGGCAAUGGGGGAAACCCUGACCCAGCAACGCCGCGUGAAGGAUGAAGUAUUUCGGUAUGUAAACUUCGAAAGAAUAGGAAGAAUAAAUGACGGUACUAUUUAUAAGGUCCGGCUAACUACGUGCCAGCAGCCGCGGUAAUACGUAGGGACCAAGCGUUGUUCGGAUUUACUGGGCGUAAAGGGCGCGUAGGCGGCGUGGUAAGUCACUUGUGAAAUCUCCGAGCUUAACUCGGAACGGUCAAGUGAUACUGCUGUGCUAGAGUACAGAAGGGGCAAUCCGAAUUCUUGGUGUAGCGGUGAAAUGCGUAGAUAUCAAGAGGAACACCUGAGGUGAAGACGGGUUGCUGGGCUGAUACUGACGCUGAGGCGCGAAAGCUAGGGUAGCAAACGGGAUUAGAUACCCGCGUAGUCCCUGAGCGGGCUGGCAAGGCGCAU
Molecule: ribosomal RNA, 447 nt
Filed under: uncultured bacterium
Lineage: Bacteria
Description: bacterial SSU rRNA
Rfam family: Bacterial small subunit ribosomal RNA
Source: RNAcentral